Molecule: long non-coding RNA, 1158 nt
Organism: Microtus oregoni (creeping vole)
Lineage: Eukaryota; Metazoa; Chordata; Mammalia; Rodentia; Cricetidae
Exons: 3
Source: RefSeq, a predicted model, not a curated record
GUCUACCUUUCCUGGGCCUGCAGAUGCCAGAAUGCUGAAUUUAUUUGCCCCAGUGCAGAAUAUGGGCUGCUGCCCCUCCCCGGCUCCUGAAUCCCCGCUUUCCAUGCAGUGACCUUGGCUUCCUCGAGUGCCGCACAGUAAAUGAAAUGUGGCAAGGCCACAUGGAUCUUGAUAAAAUAUAUCAGUGCAUGAAUUGAUUUUCAUAUUGAUUUCCGUGGACCAGCAAGGCUAGUUGAGAUGUGGCGCUUGUGAGUCUAGGACCGAUGGAUGCUUUGCCCUAAGGGGAUGUGUAUAAUUCAUGGUGUGUCGACACUGAUGGCGGAGUGUGCAUUGGAAUGUGUGCUUGCAGCCACACGCACGCACAGGCCUGUGUGUGCCGACUUUCCAGGCUGCAAAUACGACGAUGGUCUCCUGCCUCGGUGGCUUUAAUUACCAAGCAACGGACAACCGAAAGAAGAGUGUCACGGCAUAAUCAAAGCUUGAUUUGCCUUCUUCUGCCAUUGCUUUCCCAGGUCCUUCUCUCAACUUCUGUGUAGACGUUAUCAGCAACUGUUCAGCUUGGAGAUGAUGAGAGAAAGGAGGCGUGGCUUCACCUGACACUGUGUGCCUGCCUGUGUUCAUAUAAAGAGAAUUAAGUCAGUUGAAAUCAUUGUGCUAAUUCAUUGCAUUUUCUGGCUUAACUGGAAAACCUUUUUUGUUAUGAACUCUACUGAAAUGCCUUGCAGCGUGGAGUCAUCUACCUCUGGUUUUGGAGGCAAAGCCAUUGAGUGCUUUGUCAUCCCGCCAUCUUGUGGCACUCGAGACUGGUACCCUGAUUCUCAGCAAUUACAUCACAGAAUUGGGAAGCAUGGAGCUGGCUUGGAUGAAUAUAGUCAGUAGUUCUCAGCCAGGGAUGGCUUUAUGCUCAAGGGUGCAUUUAGUAAAAUCUGGAGACAGUUUUGGUUGCCACGAUAUAUGUAGGAGAGCUGUUGCUGAUAUAUACUGGGUAGGGCUGGGAACAAUCCUCAACUCACUGUCUCCACACUCCUCUUCCCCACCCACUACAAAAAUGUACUUGGUCCAAAAUGACAGCAGUGCUGGGUGGAGAAUCCUCACCCUGAGACAAGGCUUUAAACAUUUCUUUUGUUUUUGUUCAAAAGUUUGUAUUAAAUUCUUACA